AACCUUUACAAUGCUGGAAACAGCGAUAGGGGGACCUCGAGUGCCUUGGUACAACCAAGGCUGUCGUUAUGCCUAAAAAGCAUGAUAUAGCAAGGGCCGGGCAAGACCGGUGCCAGCCGCCGCGGUAACACCGGCGGCUCGAGUGGUAACCGUUAUUAUUGGGUUUAAAGGGUCUGUAGCCGGCCUGGUUAGUCUUUUGGGAAAUCCGGCAGCUCAACUGUCGGGCUUUCAGAGGAUACUGCCAGGCUCGAGACCGGGAGAGGUGAGAGGUACUUCAGGGGUAGGGGUGAAAUCUUGUAAUCCUUGAAGGACCACCAGUGGCGAAGGCGUCUCACCAGAACGGAUCUGACGGCAAGGGACGAAAGCUAGGGGCACGAACCGG
Molecule: ribosomal RNA, 382 nt
Filed under: uncultured archaeon
Lineage: Archaea
Description: bacterial SSU rRNA
Rfam family: Archaeal small subunit ribosomal RNA
Source: RNAcentral